Molecule: transfer RNA, 68 nt
Filed under: Cynops cyanurus cyanurus
Lineage: Eukaryota; Metazoa; Chordata; Amphibia; Caudata; Salamandridae
Description: tRNA-His
Rfam family: tRNA
About the family: Transfer RNA (tRNA) molecules are approximately 80 nucleotides in length. Their secondary structure includes four short double-helical elements and three loops (D, anti-codon, and T loops).
Source: RNAcentral
GUGCCUAUAAUUUAAAAAAAUACUAGACUGUGAUUCUAGAAAUGAAGGUUAAACUCUUUCUAUGCACC